This 539-nucleotide ribosomal RNA is filed under the name uncultured bacterium. RNAcentral's name for it is "bacterial SSU rRNA". It matches the Rfam family "Bacterial small subunit ribosomal RNA", at positions 356 to 896 of the family's 1533-position model. The record is from RNAcentral.
GAGGAAUAUUGGUCAAUGGACGGAAGUCUGAACCAGCCAAGUAGCGUGCAGGAUGACGGCCCUAUGGGUUGUAAACUGCUUUUGUAUGGGGAUAAAGUUAGGGACGUGUCCCUAUUUGCAGGUACCAUACGAAUAAGGACCGGCUAAUUCCGUGCCAGCAGCCGCGGUAAUACGGAAGGUCCGGGCGUUAUCCGGAUUUAUUGGGUUUAAAGGGAGCGUAGGCCGGAGAUUAAGUGUGUUGUGAAAUGUAGACGCUCAACGUCUGACUUGCAGCGCAUACUGGUUUCCUUGAGUACGCACAACGUUGGCGGAAUUCGUCGUGUAGCGGUGAAAUGCUUAGAUAUGACGAAGAACUCCGAUUGCGAAGGCAGCUGACGGGAGCGCAACUGACGCUUAAGCUCGAAGGUGCGGGUAUCGAACAGGAUUAGAUACCCUGGUAGUCCGCACAGUAAACGAUGGAUGCCCGCUGUUGGUACCUGGUAUCAGCGGCUAAGCGAAAGCAUUAAGCAUCCCACCUGGGGAGUACGCCGGCAACGGUG